Molecule: microRNA precursor, 168 nt
Filed under: Pelobates cultripes (western spadefoot toad)
Lineage: Eukaryota; Metazoa; Chordata; Amphibia; Anura; Pelobatidae
Source: RNAcentral
GCAGACACAUUCCAGUCAAUCAGCAGCAGACCCUCCCUCCCAGACCCUCCCACCUCCUGGACAGCUCACUAAGAAUGCAGCUUCACAUUGAAUGUAAAAUGGAUGCUGUCCAGGAGGUGGGAGGGUCUGGGAGGGAGGGUCUGCUGCUGAUUGGCUGGAAUGUGUCUG